ACAUUAUAUGCUACUGGAGCCUUGAAUACUGUCCUAUCAAAGGAUCAUCAAUAUGAGAUAUGCAGAUAUCUGUACAAUCAUCAGGCAAGCAAUGUGCACUGUGUCAACCUUUUGUCGAUAUUUGAUCCUGAUAGGUGCUUGGAGCAUAUGAAUGGUCAGGGAAUAAUCCACUGCCUCUAGAAACUAGAAAAAAGCUAUAUUUGAGAAAUUGGGACCAAUAAUUGAUGCUGUUGGUGCUUCAGGAGUCAACAUACUAUGUUGCAGGAAGCAUGGAUGAUGCCAUUUGCCUU
Molecule: RNA transcript, 290 nt
Organism: Gossypium raimondii (Peruvian cotton)
Lineage: Eukaryota; Viridiplantae; Streptophyta; Magnoliopsida; Malvales; Malvaceae
Exons: 3
Source: RefSeq, a predicted model, not a curated record